UUAAAGUCUAAUCUGCCCUAUGAGGAWUUAAAUGGCCGCGGUAUUUUGACCGUGCAAAGGUAGCAUAAUAAUUAGUUUUUUAAUUGAAAGCUGGAAUGAAUGAUUGGACGAGAAAAUAGCUGUCUCARUUUAAUUUUAUUAGAAUUUUAUUUUUAAGUWAAAAAGCUUAAAUUAUUUUAAAAGACGAGAAGACCCUAUAGAGUUUAAUAAUUAAUUAUUUAUUGAUUUUUUAGAAUUAUUUUACUAUUAUYUAAUUAAUUAUUUUGUUGGGGCGAUAGAAAAAUAWGAUGAACUUUUUUUWAWUUWARACAUUAAUUUAUGAUUUWUUGAUCCAUUUUUUAUGAUUAUAAGAUUAAGUUACCUUAGGGAUAACAGCGUAAUUUUUUUUUAGAGUUCUUAUCGAAAAAAAAGAUUGCGACCUCGAUGUUGGAUUAAAAUUAAUACUWGGUGUAGAAGCUUAACUAUUGGGUCUGUUCGACCUUUGAAAUUUUACA
This 494-nucleotide ribosomal RNA is filed under the name Serica kingdoni. RNAcentral describes it as "partial 16S large subunit ribosomal RNA". It matches the Rfam family "Archaeal large subunit ribosomal RNA", at positions 1977 to 2671 of the family's 2987-position model. Lineage: Eukaryota; Metazoa; Arthropoda; Insecta; Coleoptera; Scarabaeidae. The record is from RNAcentral.